This 76-nucleotide transfer RNA is filed under the name Escherichia coli. RNAcentral's name for it is "tRNA-Met". It matches the Rfam family "tRNA". Rfam says of the family: Transfer RNA (tRNA) molecules are approximately 80 nucleotides in length. Their secondary structure includes four short double-helical elements and three loops (D, anti-codon, and T loops). Further hydrogen bonds mediate the characteristic L-shaped molecular structure. tRNAs have two regions of fundamental functional importance: the anti-codon, which is responsible for specific mRNA codon recognition, and the 3' end, to which the tRNAs corresponding amino acid is attached (by aminoacyl-tRNA synthetases). tRNAs cope with the degeneracy of the genetic code in two manners: having more than one tRNA (with a specific anti-codon) for a particular amino acid; and 'wobble' base-pairing, i.e. permitting non-standard base-pairing at the 3rd anti-codon position. RNAcentral also lists the same sequence under 8 other names. The record is from RNAcentral. Lineage: Bacteria; Pseudomonadati; Pseudomonadota; Gammaproteobacteria; Enterobacterales; Enterobacteriaceae.
CGCGGGGUGGAGCAGCCUGGUAGCUCGUCGGGCUCAUAACCCGAAGGUCGUCGGUUCAAAUCCGGCCCCCGCAACC